CAGGCUAAUCACUGGGUAGGCUCAGGCCGCGUUAAUGGCUGAGAUCGUGUCCUGUUACACUGCUGACUAAUGGACUUCCCAGACUGAAGUUCCUACUGUAGGCUGGGCCUCAGGUUUUCCUGGCUUAAUAUCUCUGUCAGAAAGGUGACAGUACUCCAGUGACACCACCUUACCUGAAGCUGGGUAGAAUGAAACUUAAUCUUGGGAAGGAUCAUAGCAGCACUGACCUGAGGCCCCAAAAUCCCAGAGGGUGGCUGGAGGACACACAGGGAUUGAUUCUACCCUGAGCAUGCUACCCACUGAGCCCAGUAAGUAAGGCUGAUACUUAAAGAGCUGUGAGAUUCAAUUGGUAGUUCCUUAGGAAGCCAGGUGAGCAGCAAGUAUAUGUAUUUCCCAGGUAGAUACCCGGGGAAACUUCCAG
RNAcentral lists this long non-coding RNA (421 nucleotides) under Cyanistes caeruleus (blue tit). RNAcentral describes it as "lncRNA (ENSCCEG00000016199.1)". The record is from RNAcentral. Lineage: Eukaryota; Metazoa; Chordata; Aves; Passeriformes; Paridae.